Molecule: long non-coding RNA, 1997 nt
Organism: Homo sapiens (human)
Lineage: Eukaryota; Metazoa; Chordata; Mammalia; Primates; Hominidae
Exons: 4
Source: RefSeq, a predicted model, not a curated record
CUCCCAGAAGAAAUACAAUGUGAAGACACACAGGGAGAAGAUGGCCUUGUGACCAGGGAGAUGCAUCUACAGACCAACAAAUGCCAAGGAUUGCCAGAGAACAGAAAAAGCUGGAAGAAUCAAGGAAGGAUUCUCCCCUGGAGCCAUCAGAGAGAGCAUGCCCUGAUAUCACCUUGAUUCUUCACUUCUACCUUUCAGAAUUAAGGAAGCCAGCUGCCAUGCUUUGAGCUGCUCUAUGGAAAGGCACAUUUGGCAAGGAACUGAUGCCUCCAGUCAACAGCCAGCCAGGACUUGAGACCAGAUAAAGCCUGGAAGCUGCACGUCACCUGCCAGCUUUGUGUGUGCCCAGUGAGUGCAGGUGGCAUAAUGACCAGCGGUGACUUGAAUGACAAGGGGACAGAACAGCUGGACAAUCCAAUUCCUAGAUGCUUUCUCCAGUUAUGGCCCUGACUGGGAUCUCCGAAGAAUGACUCAGCUGAAACUGUCAGUGAGGAUGCUUACCUGUGGUCUCCCCAUCAUGGUGGUAUCAGGGUUGUUGAACACCUUACAUGGCUCCAAAAGCAAGUGUUCUGGAAUGUAAGGCAACAGCUGUGUGGUCUUUCAUAAUCCAGCAUCAGAAGUCACAUGGCAUCACUCCUGCUAAAAUUUCUUUGUGGAAGCAGCCACAAAACUGCCCAAAUUCAAGUAGAGGGCACACAGAUCUUAUUUUUUGAUGGGAGGACUCACAAAAAUUUUGCCACCAUAUUAUAAAAACACUAUAAGAUCUAAUAGUAACUUUAACUUUUUUUAACCAAUCCUUCUAUUUUCAGCCCAGACUUCACUUCCUUAUUCAGAUGUAUAAAUGUCUUCUGUGGCUUUGUGAUCAAAUCUGAAUGUUUCUUGGAUUUACCCCUGCCAGCUAAGGAUUUGGCCUUCUUUGAUCUGUUAAAUCAGUUCUCAAACACUGACUUGUUUUCCAUCUAAAAUAUCAGGGUGACCUUUAUCCCAUUCUCAUUGCUUUGAGGAUUUUGUGCCCCCUUUUUUAAAGUCACUUUCUAUGUAUUUUUAUAUGAGUGAGGUUUUGGGAGAAAGUACAGAUAAAUAUAUAUUCUCAAUCUACCACUUUAAUUGAAAAUUCUUGUUUUUUCUUUUACAAAAUUCCUAAUGUUUGCCUAACAAACAUUUAUUGAGAAACUGCUGUAUUUUCAGUAUGUGUUAAGGUCUGUGUACAUCUAUUUUAUAUACAUUAUCUUAUUUAAUAUGCUCAUUUAAUUUCCACAUCUUGUUUAACAUUUAUAAUCUUUUGAUUUGUUAAAUACAAUUUGUAGAAGACCAUUGGUUUAGCGUGAGCUGCACCAGGCCUGGCAGACCAAACCAAAAUGUAGUAUCUCAUACUAAAGUUCCAUGCCACCAAGCUGAAACUAAGUUGUUUAUCUGACUUUCCAAGAAGUCAGGAGAAAGAGAUAACAGUCAAAUCCCCAAAUAUGCUAGUUUGAGUUGGCAUGAUAGGAAAGUUCCUUCCACUUUAGCCUUUAUACGAAAGUAACUUUGGAAUGAUCAGUCUGCUUUUUGUUUCCUGUUUCUGUUUCAGCACUUUUUGUAAAGCCAACUUCUUCUCAGCACAUCAGAACACUCAUUCUACUUUAUAGAAUGAGGUAUAAUCUGAAUCUAAAAUCACAAAUAAAAGCCAAUUAAGAUUUUUAAAGUAAGUUUGUUGUAAUUUUGUCUUUUGACAGAUUUCAUCAUUGCCUACAUUUGUCUUCAGACGACCUGCAGUACAAACUUGGCUUAAACCUGCAGUUGACAAUGGUAACAGGAAUCUUAUUUUAAAAAAUAAUAUGCGCCACCAGCUAAGUUGGUCAUGAUGAGGUCUGGGCCUUGAUAGCCUUCUGGGUUUUAAUUCACACAAUAUGUUUGAAAAAAGAAAAAUCAAAGUAACUGUAAUUUUUUUGUAAAGCAAAAUACUUUUUAAAAGCCAUGAGGCACGUGUUACUCAAAGGGCUCCUUGGAUGAAUUAU